This 337-nucleotide long non-coding RNA is filed under the name Mytilus galloprovincialis (Mediterranean mussel). Lineage: Eukaryota; Metazoa; Mollusca; Bivalvia; Mytilida; Mytilidae. The record is from RNAcentral.
AACCCACUCAGUGAACACAAACGCAUCAAUGAUGAAUGUAAUUGUUUCAACCAAACGAGAAGAGUUUGAUCUAGAAAAGUUCUGGAAGAUAGAAACAACUGGGACCGAGAAUAUGGACGCCGAUUUUAAGUUUAAUCAGGAAUUCCAGGACGUGUAUGAAAAAACUUCGAUCCGUUACCAUGACAACCGCUAUUUUGCAAAACUUCCAUGGAAAGAGGACCACCCAACACUACCAUUGAAUAGAAAUAUUGCAUAUCGACGGACAGUAAACGUUGUUAAUAGAUUAAGAAAAGAUCCAAACAUGUUAACAAAAUAUGGAGAAAUCAUCGCAGAACAA